AAGCAAAAUAACCGCCUCAGCCAGGCCCGAGGGAAACGCACGGAGCGUUUCUCCUCGUCCAGGCUGCGAGCGUACAGGGGUGGGGACGCGCGGGUGCAGCGGCGCGAGAGGAGUCGCGCACGCCUCACCUUCCUCGGCCCCAUUCGCGCACGUCAGUCGCCGCUGCGGCCCUCUCGCGCGGUCGCCGUCGCUGCCGCCCUCUCGCCCAGCCGUCAUCGUCGCCGUCCUUGCGCCAGAUCUGGGUCGAGCUCCCCCACGCGCGCAUGGCC
This 269-nucleotide long non-coding RNA is filed under the name Oryza brachyantha (malo sina). RNAcentral's name for it is "long non-coding RNA (OBRA_LNC002790)". The record is from RNAcentral. Lineage: Eukaryota; Viridiplantae; Streptophyta; Magnoliopsida; Poales; Poaceae.